UCCAGAGUGAGGUGAAGGAAGACGGGCGUCUAUUGUAAGCACUGAGCGUGGUGGGUGAGUCUUGGAUGUAGAAAUUUUCACUUGAAGUGGUGCUGUGUAAUGCUGUGUAUUGCAGUGAGAUUGCUAUUGUCUUGUCUGACGUACCCCCGCCUCCAGUCACUCGUUCUUGAGACGACGAAGAGGAAGAACGGUUCUAGAGUAAGACCUGUAUAUAAAUAUGCUGUGAGUGUGUUCCAGUCUUAAAAUCUCAGAGUGGCGUCUCGAAGUAUUUUCCCAGCCAAACGCUCGGCGGACUUGAGUUUAGGAGUGGCGGUGAAGAACUGUGCUAUUGACGGUGUGUGGAUAUUACCUAUAAUAUUGCUACCUUACCUGUGUCCUUUUGUCAUCACAGAGUUGGAGGCGAAGGAGAUCCGCCGCCCCGAGGUCUCGACGAAAGGGCGCCCCGGUCCAGUUUUCGAUUGACCAACGGGUCUCGAGGAAAGGGCAGCGCUCGACCCGGUGUGCCGGCGUGACGUUCUCGCCCCUCUGUAGACCAACGAGCUCGCCGAGAGGGUUUUGGCCCCCGGCGUCACAUAGGAAACCACUGUCUAGCUGACGCAUCGCGCAGCCAGUUACCUCAUCUGUGGAGAGAGAGAGAAAGAGCCAGCGUGAACGCUGAGAUAUCGGACUGUGAAGAGAGAGCCAUACCUACCCUAAGCUGUAGUCAGCGCAGAGUCCUCUGUGGAGAGAGAGAGAGCCAGCGUGAGCACUGAGAUACUGAACUGUGCAGAGAGCCAUACCUACCCAAAGCUGUAGUCAGCGCAGAGGUGAGAGAACCAUUGGAAAACCGAUUCAUUGUGCCUUUGUGUCCCAGCAGUCAUCUGUGGAGAGAGAGAGAGAAAGAGCCAGCGUGAACCCUGAGAAGCCGAGCUGUGAAGAGAGCCUAGAGGGGCCGUUAUUUUAAGUUCCCCUUUCCCCUUCCCUAUUUAAUAUUUUUAAGUAAUUUAAUAAAGUAUAUUUUAAUUUUA
Non-coding RNA from Paramisgurnus dabryanus, 1007 nucleotides. NCBI's taxonomy places the organism in Eukaryota, Metazoa, Chordata, Actinopteri, Cypriniformes, Cobitidae. The record is from RefSeq and is a predicted model, not a curated record.